This is a long non-coding RNA of Drosophila innubila, 353 nucleotides long. RefSeq lists it as uncharacterized. The record is from RefSeq and is a predicted model, not a curated record. The transcript has 2 exons. Lineage: Eukaryota; Metazoa; Arthropoda; Insecta; Diptera; Drosophilidae.
AACUUCAGUCUUACUACAAAGCCUUUUACAGCAGUAUUUACAUUUCUUUUUCAAAUUUAAUCUUCAAAAUGUUUAUCGGCCCUGUUCAGAAAGAACAUUUGCACAAUAUGAUCCUGGGUUGUGGUUGGCCUUGUGGAUCGCUGAGCGGACCGUGUAAUGGCUGCUGCGGAGGAUGCUGCGGCGGAUGUGGCGGCUGUUGCUAGAUGAAAUAUGGAAGAUCUAUGUCUAUGCAUUCCGAUCAGGGCCGUAGACAACGACCACUACAGCAAUAUCUAUAUAAAAUCAUGCCAUGGUCUAUUUGUUCUCAAAUUAUAUCACUAUAAAAAUAAAUAGUUCAAAGUAAGACUAAAAAA